UUCUUUUAUUUUCAUUUUUUAAGUCUGACUGGGUUAUUUCAAAAGAACUGUCUUCAUGAACAGAAAAUCUUUCUUCUACUUGAUUUAGUCUAUUAUCAAAGCUCUCAAUCGUAUAUUUUAUCUCAUUCAUUGAAUUAUUCAGUUAUGGGAUGUCUGUUUGGUUUUUUAUGGUCUUUCUUGGUGGUGAUGACAACAUCCUCCUGGAAGGCUCCUUAUUUCUGACAACAGCAGAGGAGAAGAGGCUAAUUUUAGAGAACAUGGCCUGGCUUCUACCCUCCAGAGGAACAUCCAACAGAUGACUCUUUGUUCUCUCAGCAGGGGAAGUGAUGUGGGAAUCAGGAAACAAUGUCUGACUUCAGCUCCUGCCUACCACCCUCAUCAUGGGCCCCGGAAUUCUGCCCUCCAGAUGGCUCAAGAGUUAACCCCAUGCAGUAUUAAUGUAUGAAACAUGACAAACUGUGCUUUGUUCCCGGCAUGAAUUAACAAUUUGUUUAA
Non-coding RNA from Macaca mulatta (Rhesus monkey), 495 nucleotides. Lineage: Eukaryota; Metazoa; Chordata; Mammalia; Primates; Cercopithecidae. The record is from RefSeq and is a predicted model, not a curated record.